This is a non-coding RNA of Labrus bergylta (ballan wrasse), 722 nucleotides long. The record is from RefSeq and is a predicted model, not a curated record. NCBI's taxonomy places the organism in Eukaryota, Metazoa, Chordata, Actinopteri, Labriformes, Labridae.
UAUUUACAUCUGGUGAAUAGUUCUCUUGAGGGGACCUUAAAUAACCUUCAAUGAAAUAAAUCUAGAACAAUCUUUUUUUUUCUGUUUCAGCCAAACGCCCUCCAUCCCGUAAGUAGAACUUGAUUUUAUUAUAUUAAGUUUGACCUUAAAUGAACUCUGUAAAUGAAAAAGGGUUUCUGGAGUGUUUUCUGGUGUAAAUGAUGGUUUCAGAGUCGGAUGUGUGCUAACAUUGUGUUUCUGAUCUUACAGCGGUAAACGACCCGGCUGUGCAACAAAUGAUGCUUCCAAAUCAAAAUACCUAAAGACAAAGAGAGGACCCUGAACCCAGUUUACGGGUACGUUCUGCACUGAAACAAGGAGCAGACCGACACGCUCUCCUCAGAAUUCAUUGGCUCUCAUCGUAUCAGACAUGAAGUGAUCAGAGUUGGGAAUUUAAAUUUAAAUCUUUGAAAUACAAAGAAAACAAGUUUGAAAAAGAGUUGACAAAUGCUUUACAAAUCUUGAUGAUUUAUUUUUUGUCACCUGGAGAGAAGAGAAUCAGAAGAUGAAUCUAUGACGGCAUCACGCCGCUCUUCAUGUGUUGAAGAAAGAUUUGUGUGUUGAUCUAAAAUCCAUCAUAGUUGGAUUUUUCUACUUCUGGUGUUCAGAGCUUUGUGCUAAAACAAAUGUUGGUGAUAAAUACGUUAAUAAAGACACACACACACACACACACACACACACAC